RNAcentral lists this ribosomal RNA (492 nucleotides) under uncultured bacterium. RNAcentral describes it as "bacterial SSU rRNA". It matches the Rfam family "Bacterial small subunit ribosomal RNA", at positions 791 to 1281 of the family's 1533-position model. The record is from RNAcentral.
UAGUCCACACCGUAAACGAUGAGAGCUAGUUGUCUGCAAGCAUGCUUGUAGGUGACGCAGCUAACGCAUUAAGCUCUCCGCCUGGGGAGUACGGUCGCAAGAUUAAAACUCAAAGAAAUUGACGGGGGCCCGCACAAGCGGUGGAGCAUGUGGUUUAAUUCGAAGCAACGCGCAGAACCUUACCUACCCUUGACAUGCCGGUCGCGAUUUCCAGAGAUGGAUUUCUUCAAUUCGGUUGGACCGUGCACAGGUGCUGCAUGGCCGUCGUCAGCUCGUGUCGUGAGAUGUUGGGUUAAGUCCCGCAACGAGCGCAACCCUUGUCUUUAGUUGCCAUCAUUUAGUUGGGCACUCUAGAGAGACUGCCGGUGAUAAGCCGGAGGAAGGCGGGGAUGACGUCAAGUCCUCAUGGCCCUUAUGGGUUGGGCUACACACGUGCUACAAUGGCAUCUACAGUGGGACGCUAGGCCGCAAGGUCGUGCUAAUCUCCAAAAG